CUGAAGGCCACUGGAGUACAGGCAGGUUUUGUCCUUGGCUUCAGCUCUGGAACCCGCAGUUUUGGUACCUGAUCAGUUACUAACUUUAGGCAGAAGCCUUUUGUGAUAACGUGACAGAGAGACCAGGUUCUUCCUCACACAGCUGUACGCUCUGUUUGCCGUUUCAGCACCCCUCCAUCAGAAUCCAGAGGGUUCUUAUAUAUUGUGUGUACCUGAUGGAGAUUGGAGCUCAUUCGAGUGAAAAAGCUGAAGUUGAUUCUAUUCAACUUAUUACGUGUUGCUCACUUUAUACUUUUUCUGGAGGAAGAGGAAAAGAACAACUGACCUGACUCCUCAGAUGAGGCCAGGAGCCAGAAUAGCAGGCCAGCUGCUGGAUUCCCCUUCAGCCCAUGUGGAUAUGUUUCAGAGAGCCAUCCCCAGGGGUUGGG
This 428-nucleotide long non-coding RNA is filed under the name Aotus nancymaae (Ma's night monkey). Its description in RNAcentral is "lncRNA (ENSANAG00000038623.1)". The record is from RNAcentral. Lineage: Eukaryota; Metazoa; Chordata; Mammalia; Primates; Aotidae.